AUAUAUUGCAACAAAAAUUAUGAUUGACAACACUGAUAUGUAAAUAUUGUAUGACAGAUUUAUACACUAAUCACAAUCAUAUACAUGUGCUAACAACUGGUAUAAAAAUAUCAUCGAAAGUCCAUAAGUUCACAAGCAUUUCUGGUUGUACGUUUUUUUGACACUGGUUCCUAAGGUUACAAUGACUGAUUUGCAUAUAUGUUAAUCUUACAAUGUAAUGAAUAAUCAAAAUUACAAUUUACUUAAUAUGUUGAUUUUUAGUAAAAUUAUGAAUCUUUCAACAGCAAUUUUGUAAAUGCCAAGUAGAAUGAUAUACAACUAUAUCAUUCACAAGACUAUGAAUACCAAACUCCAGUAAAAAAUAUCACAUUAAACUGAUAAUAUAGCAGUCAAUAGAACAUGAAGACAGAUAAUUUUUCAAAGCUUAAUUCCAAACAGUCUGAGCAUAUUUGUGUUUUGGACGGAUGGACCCUGAGUGGUCGCUUAAACUAACCUAAUCACAAACUUUUAAAUGUCAACUACAGAAAAAAAAAUUCGAAGCCAAUAAACCAUGUCAGACAGGCUAAAUAAUUCAAAAGCGAAGAGAAAUGAUAUGCUACUGUUUCAUACAGAUUCAUCAUAAGUGGAUAAAAGUUUCAGAGUUGAAUAGACUAUGACUUAGAGAGCUAGGGCCACACAAUCUUCAUGGAAAUGAGAUGUGCCAAUGCAUCUUCAACUGCAUACCAAAUAUCAUUGACAUACCAUUUGUAGUUCCUCAUAAAGUGACCUUAUAAAAAAUCUUUAAAAAUAGUUGAUGCUGCUAUUAAUACUGAAAACAGCAAGCUGAAGUCAGCUUUUUCAAUUUUUUUCAGUGGAGACAAAAAAUUGAGUUCAACCCCUUACAUAUGAUACUGCAAAAUUUCCAUGCAUUCCAUUUCAAAUUAUCAGGAAAACAAGUGCUCUCAUUAAAACCAACUGAGUGUUGUCAUCAAGCUUUAUGUUGAAAUGAUAUGGAUGGACGCACAGAAAAAGACAUACUACAUAAAUAGAACACAUUUGUAUAUUUUCAAAAUAAAAUGCUUAUAAUAACAUUAACGGUACCAAUUUUCCUGCACCAGAUGCGCAUUUCGACAAUACAUGUCUCUUCAGUGAUGCUCGUCUACGACUUUAACUACUGGUAAAAAUAUUCGUGGCAUGAAACCCUCAAUUAAUGAUGUCAUCUAGACCAGUUAAGAUUUUCUGUUAGGGUCUUUGUGGAAAUAUUUU
Molecule: long non-coding RNA, 1245 nt
Filed under: Mytilus galloprovincialis (Mediterranean mussel)
Lineage: Eukaryota; Metazoa; Mollusca; Bivalvia; Mytilida; Mytilidae
Source: RNAcentral